CGCGCGUGCAGUGUAUUUUCUGUUUUGUUUUGCUUUUGUUUGUACAGGAAGUAGCUUGAAAUUCUAUAUACUUUUGAAGGCCAAGGCUGCACAAUCAUAGACUCUACUAUGGACCAUGGACUGGCUGACGUGGAAAUGGCCUUCAGUCAACAUACAGCAAGAAGAAGCUGCCAGAAGAGAUAGAGAGACCAGCAAGACACAGACAGAAAAAGAUGAUGCCGUGCCUUCCUAGAGCGAUAAAAGCGAGGUCCUGCACCUUUCAAUGCAUUGGCUCCUUGGGAGAAUCCUAGAAAUGCACACAGUUCUGGGCUGGCACUGUUAUUUGAUUAGGGAGUUCUAAAGAAAAUCUUUGGGCAGUUUAAAGAGAAAAAAAAAAAAAAAGCAGUAUAUUUCUCAUGGAGAAAAAUGCUUUGCCCAUGAUUGGCCACUCAUGGCAGUAAACCCAACCUGCGCAGAACAUAGCAUAAUGACCUUCAUUUAUUUAUUUAUUUUUCAGUCUGGAAAAACUUAAUGCAUAUGCACUAUGAUUUUUUUGUUGUUGUUGUUGUCUAUUUUCUUUGUGACAC
This is a long non-coding RNA of Meriones unguiculatus (Mongolian gerbil), 566 nucleotides long. RefSeq lists it as uncharacterized. Lineage: Eukaryota; Metazoa; Chordata; Mammalia; Rodentia; Muridae. The record is from RefSeq and is a predicted model, not a curated record. The transcript has 3 exons.